UACGUAGGGUGCGAGCGUUGUCCGGAAUUAUUGGGCGUAAAGAGCUUGUAGGCGGUUUGUCGCGUCUGCUGUGAAAAUCCGGGGCUCAACCCCGGACUUGCAGUGGGUACGGGCAGACUAGAGUGUGGUAGGGGAGACUGGAAUUCCUGGUGUAGCGGUGAAAUGCGCAGAUAUCAGGAGGAACACCGAUGGCGAAGGCAGGUCUCUGGGCCACUACUGACGCUGAGAAGCGAAAGCAUGGGGGAGCGAACAGGAUUAGAUACCCCGGUA
Molecule: ribosomal RNA, 270 nt
Filed under: uncultured prokaryote
Description: partial 16S ribosomal RNA
Rfam family: Bacterial small subunit ribosomal RNA
Source: RNAcentral